GACGAACGCUGGCGGCGUGCUUAACACAUGCAAGUCGAACGGAAAGGCCCUGCUUUUGUGGGGUGCUCGAGUGGCGAACGGGUGAGUAACACGUGAGUAACCUGCCCUUGACUUUGGGAUAACCUCAGGAAACUGGGGCUAAUACCGGAUAGGAGCUCCUGCUGCAUGGUGGGGGUUGGAAAGUUUCGGCGGUUGGGGAUGGACUCGCGGCUUAUCAGCUUGUUGGUGGGGUAGUGGCUUACCAAGGCUUUGACGGGUAGCCGGCCUGAGAGGGUGACCGGCCACAUUGGGACUGAGAUACGGCCCAGACUCCUACGGGAGGCAGCAGUGGGGAAUAUUGCACAAUGGGCGGAAGCCUGAUGCAGCAACGCCGCGUGCGGGAUGACGGCCUUCGGGUUGUAAACCGCUUUCGCCUGUGACGAAGCGUGAGUGACGGUAAUGGGUAAAGAAGCACCGGCUAACUACGUGCCAGCAGCCGCGGUGAUACGUAGGGUGCGAGCGUUGUCCGGAUUUAUUGGGCGUAAAGGGCUCGUAGGUGGUUGAUCGCGUCGGAAGUGUAAUCUUGGGGCUUAACCCUGAGCGUGCUUUCGAUACGGGUUGACUUGAGGAAGGUAGGGGAGAAUGGAAUUCCUGGUGGAGCGGUGGAAUGCGCAGAUAUCAGGAGGAACACCAGUGGCGAAGGCGGUUCUCUGGGCCUUUCCUGACGCUGAGGAGCGAAAGCGUGGGGAGCGAACAGGCUUAGAUACCCUGGUAGUCCACGCUGUAAACGGUGGGUACUAGGUGUGGGGUCCAUUCCACGGGUUCCGUGCCGUAGCUAACGCUUUAAGUACCCCGCCUGGGGAGUACGGCCGCAAGGCUAAAACUCAAAGGAAUUGACGGGGCCCCGCACAAGCGGCGGAGCAUGCGGAUUAAUUCGAUGCAACGCGUAGAACCUUACCUGGGUUUGACAUGGAUCGGGAGUGCUCAGAGAUGGGUGUGCCUCUUUUGGGGUCGGUUCACAGGUGGUGCAUGCCUGUCGUCAGCUCGUGUCGUGAGAUGUUGGGUUAAGUCCCGCAACGAGCGCAACCCUUGUUCACUGUUGCCAGCACGUUAUGGUGGGGACUCAGUGGAGACCGCCGGGGUCAACUCGGAGGAAGGUGGGGAUGACGUCAAGUCCUCAUGCCCCUUAUGUCCAGGGCUUCACGCAUGCUACAAUGGCUGGUACAGAGAGUGGCGAGCCUGUGAGGGUGAGCGAAUCUCGGAAAGCCGGUCUCAGUUCGGAUUGGGGUCUGCAACUCGACCUCAUGAAGUCGGAGUCGCUAGUAAUCGCAGAUCAGCAACGCUGCGGUGAAUACGUUCCCGGG
This 1343-nucleotide ribosomal RNA is filed under the name uncultured bacterium. RNAcentral's name for it is "16S ribosomal RNA". It matches the Rfam family "Bacterial small subunit ribosomal RNA", at positions 28 to 1378 of the family's 1533-position model. The record is from RNAcentral.